Molecule: unclassified non-coding RNA, 500 nt
Filed under: Hevea brasiliensis (rubber tree)
Lineage: Eukaryota; Viridiplantae; Streptophyta; Magnoliopsida; Malpighiales; Euphorbiaceae
Source: RNAcentral
GAGGAGUCGAACCAAAAACGGAUUUUCAGCGGAUAAAAAGCAGCGGAGACUCUGAGCUUGGAGAUGGAUGCCGUACAGUUCUCGACCGUUGCCUCCCGCUAUUUCUCCUCUUGCUUUUUCACGAGAAACAAUCACAGAGACUUAAACCUCUCCAAAUGCAGGAGAACUUCCUCUGAUUUUUGUUCUUCAUGGACUGGUUCCAGUAGCGUCUCUUAGCUUUCUUGCAGAAACUUGUUCACUGUAAGGAAAGAAUCACCCAAUUCUUUUAAUGUCUUUUUAGACUCUGAUUGGUUUCCUAGAAAGUGUGUUUACUCAAUUUUUUGGCUGUAAACAGAGGGAGAUAUGGGGCUGGGUCAAUUGCAAGAACGUAACUUUCAGAGAUGUUCGUGGUGUGGUAAAGGCGGACAUGUUUUGGCUGUUAACAAGCGGCCUUGAAGCUGCUUGGAGCAAGCUCAAAGGAAAAGGCUUUAGCUUUUCGCUUCUUUGUCCUUGCUCAAUUA